UACAGAGGGUGCAAGCGUUGUUCGGAAUUCUUGGGCGUAAAGCACGUGUAGGCGGCUUGUUAAGUCGGGUGUGAAAGCCCUCAGCUCAACUGAGGAAGUGCACCCGAAACUGCUGGGCUUGAGUGCCGGAGAGGAUGGCGGAAUUCCCCAAGUAGAGGUGAAAUUCGUAGAUAUGGGGAGGAACACCGGUGGCGAAGGCGGCCAUCUGGACGGUAACUGACGCUGAGACGCGAAAGCGUGGGGAGCAAACAGG
This 253-nucleotide ribosomal RNA is filed under the name uncultured bacterium. RNAcentral's name for it is "partial 16S ribosomal RNA". It matches the Rfam family "Bacterial small subunit ribosomal RNA", at positions 524 to 776 of the family's 1533-position model. The record is from RNAcentral.